UACGGAGGGUGCAAGCGUUGUCCGGAUUUAUUGGGCGUAAAGAGCUCGUAGGCGGCUCAGUAAGUCAGAUGUGAAAACUCAGGGCUCAACCCGGAGACGCCAUCUGAUACUGCUGUGGCUUGAGUCUGGUAGGGGAUCACGGAAUUCCUGGUGUAGCGGUGAAAUGCGCAGAUAUCAGGAGGAACACCGAUGGCGAAGGCAGUGAUCUGGGCCAGUACUGACGCUGAGGAGCGAAAGCGUGGGUAGCAAACAGG
This 254-nucleotide ribosomal RNA is filed under the name uncultured bacterium. Its description in RNAcentral is "partial 16S ribosomal RNA". It matches the Rfam family "Bacterial small subunit ribosomal RNA", at positions 524 to 776 of the family's 1533-position model. The record is from RNAcentral.